Molecule: ribosomal RNA, 497 nt
Filed under: uncultured bacterium
Lineage: Bacteria
Description: partial 16S ribosomal RNA
Rfam family: Bacterial small subunit ribosomal RNA
Source: RNAcentral
GAUGAACGCUGGCGGCGUGCCUAGUACAUGCAAGUCGGGCGAACAGAUAAGGAGCUUGCUCCUUUGACGUUAGCGGCGGACGGGUGAGUAACACGUGGGUAACCUACCUAUAAGACUGGAAUAACUCCGGGAAACCGGGGCUAAUGCCGGAUAACAUUUAGAACCGCAUGGUUCUAAAGUGAAAGAUGGUUUUGCUAUCACUUAUAGAUGGACCCGCGCCGUAUUAGCUAGUUGGUAAGGUAACGGCUUACCAAGGCAACGAUACGUAGCCGACCUGAGAGGGUGAUCGGCCACACUGGAACUGAGACACGGUCCAGACUCCUACGGGAGGCAGCAGUAGGGAAUCUUCCGCAAUGGGCGAAAGCCUGACGGAGCAACGCCGCGUGAGUGAUGAAGGUCUUCGGAUCGUAAAACUCUGUUAUUAGGGAAGAACAAAUGUGUAAGUAACUGUGCACGUCUUGACGGUACCUAAUCAGAAAGCCACGGCUAACUACGUG